Bactrocera dorsalis (oriental fruit fly) is the source of this 2726-nucleotide long non-coding RNA. RefSeq lists it as uncharacterized. The transcript has 3 exons. The record is from RefSeq and is a predicted model, not a curated record. Lineage: Eukaryota; Metazoa; Arthropoda; Insecta; Diptera; Tephritidae.
UGAAUUGCCAGACAAAAUCCCAUUAAAAAUAACUGACAAAAUCAGUUCGUUAUUUUUCAUUGUGGAGUACAUAAGUAAUUGUGUUGUGAAAAUAUAGUGUUUUUUAUUAAAAAUACAGUGUAUAAAUGUUUUUACUAAAAAUAAAGUUGGAAAAUGCCGAGAACUAAAAAUAAGUGUGUGGCUGGAUGCGUAGGAGCGCGACGGUUUUUCAAUUUCCCCAACAAGGAAAAGGAUGGAUCCAGGUUCGUAAAUAAUUUUAAUUAGUAGAAAAAUAUAGUUAUUUAGUGAAAUUUAGAAAUAUUUUUUCAUAAAUGGUGCCUAUUUUGAUUUUGUUUUAGAUGCAAUUUAUUGCAUGAUAAAAAAUAUAUCAUACUUGCGAAAUGUAAUGUAAUUUUGUAAAUAGUAUUGUAAUAUUUAAUAGAUCCAAUUUAAUAUGUUGUUUGGAGUAGCGUAGUAGAUGUAAAUAUUACUAUAAUUAUAAUUUAUAAGCACAAAUAAAUGUAAUACUAGUAAUAUAAAUAAUAAAUUAUAAAUACUAAUAAAUGUUGUGAUUUUAUUUUGUACCUAUAUGGGUGAUAUAGGCUUAUAGGGGAACCGAGCACCCAAAACUAACUUCGGUAACGCGCCUUUUGUAUACCUCAGCGGUGGUGUGGAAAUUACAAACUCCCAAAGCAUUUACUAAAAAUUCCCUAACACAUUUCUUCCAUAGUGGCAUCAUUGGCAAAUGUUAUAAAAAAUGUGGACUUUGACAGCGCUCUCUCGAAUCAAAGAGUUUCGUAUCAAUUUAUCCAUGGUAUAUAAUACAGAGAACCGCAACCCAUAUCACACCAUUUUAUACAUAUUUUGAAAAUCCUAUCUUGGUGUUAAAGUGGCCAUACACGACACACAUGUGCGUUCGAUCGGUAUGUGUGCAAUUGAUGUUUACUCCUGUAUGGACUUGUGCGCAUACCUAUCCAUUUUCACGAAAAUGUUUGAUUUUUUACGAUCAGUGUGCACACAUGUAUGCCGUGAAUGGCGCUGUGUGCACACAAAUUUUUCUUUUUUUUCGUUUCGCCGAAUAGGAAAGAUCGCGGACAAACAAUUUUCCGCUUGCUUGUCGCACAUGUUCACUGUGUGAAAAACGAAUGCAAAAUGAAUUUGAUGUGCUGAACACAAUGAGCGCGACAGGCUGCAAGCGACAUCUGUCAAAUAAUAAAAUAUACACGUUCUUAUGCACACAGUUAUUUUGGCAGCUGCACGACUACACGACUGCAGGCCGACAGUUACACUCAGCGAAAAAAAAACCCACGCAGUCGAAAAUUUUCUAAUAUUCCUAUUUUGAACUGUCACUGUUUGCUCAAAAUUCACUAUUUGUCUUAUUUAGCUGUUUUGUCAUGUGACUACAUUAUUUUGCCUUUAUUUUUAAAACCGUUAGCGUCCGCACGUGUUUAUUACAGAAGUUGCGGUUUUUUCUUUUGGAUCAGUUGUGAUAACAAGUUAAGUUGAACAUGGUGGUGUCAACAAAAAAAAAACAGAAAUCGUAACUUUAUAUAAAAUAAAUUAUCCAAAGGUCAAAAAGCUCGUGAAAUAGGCAUAAGAGAUUGGAACGUGCGUAUUAUAAUUAAAAAUUAUACGUAUUUUAACUGAAUAGCUCGAAAAAAGGGCAGUGGACGUCUGAAAACAGUAAAACCUCGACAAAAACGACAAAUUAAACGGAUGUGCAUUAAUGAUCGCUUUCAACAUGCUGGAACAAUCAAUGCAACAUUAUACGAAACCACUGGGGUAAAAAUAACUACAAGUUCUAUACAAAAUUUGCCGAAUAUUCUUGGACUCCGAGCGCGACGUCCAGCCAAAAAGCCACUUCUCAUUACACGAAUGAAGAAAUACUGACUAGAGUGGGCAAAAUUACACAAAAUGUGGACUACAUCAGAUUGGGGAAAUGUUAUUUUUUCCGAUGAGUCGAAAUUUAAUUUGUUGGAACCCGACGGAAAUGCCGCAGUGCGUCAUGGGAAAGGGGAGCGUUUUUUGGAAAACUGUGUUUGGCCCACCGUAAAGCAUUCGCCUUAUUUAAUGGUGUAGGGAGCUGUAACCAAGUUUGGGUUUGGGCCGCUAAUUAUUCUAAAAAGAUCUGUGAAUGCCAAAAUAUAAAUUGGAAUUUUGAGAGAAGGAGUUUUGUGAAUUAUUGAACAGCUGGCCGAACGCGCCCAAAAAGUUUAUUUUCAGGAUAUUUCAGCCCCUUGUCAUAGAGCCAAAGCGGUUUCAAAACAAAAAGAUUUUUAUGGAAUGGGGACUCUCACGUGGCCAGGAAACAGUUCAGACCUCAAUCCAAUUGAGAACUGCUAGCAUUAUUUGGGCAAAAUGGUGGACAAAAUGAUAAGAGAAAAGCAUCCAAAAAGUCUAAAAGAAAUAGAAAAAAUUGUUGAAGCUGUGCGGAAUGAAUAAAUUAAUUAAAAUUAUCUUCAACGCUUUUAUGAAUCCAUGCCUAAACAUAUAGCCGAUGUUAUUAGGAGGAGGGGGUGUUCUACAAAAUACUAAGAAUUUUUUUAUACAAAAUAUUUUAUUUUGAUUCGUUAUGUAUUCUAAUGCAAAAUAAAAAAUUUUAUAAAACAUAAAAUAUGUAAAUAACUUGUUUAAAAAUUACAUUAUUGUUCAUAAGAAAAUUUACUUCUGUGGUUUGUUAUGUGUGUGUUUUUACAUUUUUAUCUAUAACAAGUGUUAAACUAUAAGUUUUUUAUAUAAAAAUGCUU